GCCCUUGGUCUUCAUGAGCAAGAGCUCAAAAAAUUGAACGUUUCUUAUCACAACCCUUCUUCGUAGCAGAAGUAUUUACCGGUUCUCCAUGGAAAUAUGUUGGUCUAGCAGAAACAAUUAUAGGUUUUCAACUGAUCCUUUUUGGCGAAUUAGAUGGUCUUCCUGAGCAGGCCUUUUAUUUGGUUGGUAACAUCGAUGAAGCUACCGCGAAGGCUAUAAACUUAGAAGUGGAGAGCAAUUUGAAGAAAUGACCUUAAAUCUUUGUGUACUGACUCCUAAUCGAAUUGUGUGGGAUUCAGAAGUGAAAGAAAUUAUUUUAUCUACUAAUAGUGACCAAAUUGGCGUAUUACCCAAUCAUGCCCCCAUUGCCACAGCAGUAGAUAUAGGUGUUUUCCGAAUACGCCUUAAGGAUCAAUGGUUAAUGAUGGCUCUGAUGGGUGGUUUUGCUAGAAUAGGCAAUAAUGAGAUCACCAUUUUAGUAAAUGAUGCAAAAAGAGGUCGUGAGAUUGAUCCGCAAAAAGCUCAGCGAACUCUUGAAAUGGUUGAAGCUAACUUGAGUAGAGCUGAAGGAAAGAGACAAGCAAUUGAGACGAAUUUAGCUCUCAGACGGGCUAGGACGUGAGUAGAGGCUAUCAAUAUAAUUUCGUAACUACUUGGUGCGUUCGAAUAAUUAAAAGAAGUUCUGUUUAUAUACCUAUAUUUUGUCGAUUAAAUAAAAUCAAGUGAUUCUAGCGCAACAACAAAAAAAAAAAAAGAAUUA
Molecule: long non-coding RNA, 760 nt
Organism: Telopea speciosissima
Lineage: Eukaryota; Viridiplantae; Streptophyta; Magnoliopsida; Proteales; Proteaceae
Exons: 3
Source: RefSeq, a predicted model, not a curated record